RNAcentral lists this ribosomal RNA (465 nucleotides) under uncultured bacterium. RNAcentral describes it as "bacterial SSU rRNA". It matches the Rfam family "Bacterial small subunit ribosomal RNA", at positions 338 to 795 of the family's 1533-position model. The record is from RNAcentral.
CCUACGGGAGGCUGCAGUGGGGAAUUUUGGACAAUGGGCGCAAGCCUGAUCCAGCCAUGCCGCGUGCAGGAUGAAGGCCUUCGGGUUGUAAACUGCUUUUGUACGGAACGAAACGGCCUUUUCUAAUAAAGAGGGCUAAUGACGGUACCGUAAGAAUAAGCACCGGCUAACUACGUGCCAGCAGCCGCGGUAAUACGUAGGGUGCAAGCGUUAAUCGGAAUUACUGGGCGUAAAGCGUGCGCAGGCGGUGAUGUAAGACAGUUGGGAAAUCCCCGGGCCCAACCUGGGAACUGGAUCUGUGGAUGCAUUGGUGGAGGAAGGCAGAGGGGGAUGGAAGUCCGCGUGUUGCAGUGAAAUGCGUAGAUAUGCGGGGGGACACCGAUGGCGAAGGCAAUCCCCUGGGCCUGGACUGACGCUCAUGCACGAAAACGUGGGGAGCAAACAGGAUUAGAUACCCCUGUAGUC